GCACAUUUGAGCUUCUACUCGAAUCUACAUCUCCUGAAUUGCAAUUCUUGAGACCCCAAAUAAACUUUUUGGUUCUUUUGCAGUUUAUGCCUCUUAUUUGCUGACUUUACAUGGUGACAGAAGUGGGAUCCCUAGCUACUGACCUUCAAUUCUGGUGCCACUUCACAGACACAAGCAAGGUGCCUGCAAAGAAUCUUUUGUGCUCUGUCGUCUCCUCCUGGUGGCUCUGGUUCCUGGUGAUUGGUUGCAGACAAUGAUACGGGCGUCAGGAAUGGCGGAGCCAAGAGACGGGAAUUCAUGGGUGACUGACACACCCUGUGGAAGAGAACCACCUGCCCAACACGAAACCCACCUUGGCCUGUAAGGCAAUCACACAUAAAUGUCUAUUCUCUGGUUAUUCUUU
Molecule: non-coding RNA, 403 nt
Organism: Equus caballus (horse)
Lineage: Eukaryota; Metazoa; Chordata; Mammalia; Perissodactyla; Equidae
Source: RefSeq, a predicted model, not a curated record